Molecule: ribosomal RNA, 507 nt
Filed under: uncultured bacterium
Lineage: Bacteria
Description: bacterial SSU rRNA
Rfam family: Bacterial small subunit ribosomal RNA
Source: RNAcentral
AACGAACGCUGGCGGCGUGGAUUAGGCAUGCAAGUCGAGCGAGAAAAGGUCCGCAAGGGCCUGAGUAAAGCGGCGCAAGGGUGAGUAAUGCCUGGAUAACCUACCCCUGAGAGGGGGAUAACGUCUGGAAACGGACGCUAAUACCCCAUAAGACCACGGGCCUACGAGUCCGUGCUUAAAGAUAGCCUCUGUUUACAAGCCUUCGCUCAGGGAGGGGUUCAGGUCCUACUAGCUAGUUGGCGGGGUAACGGCCCACCAAGGCGACGAUGGGUAGCCGGGCUGAGAGGUUGUUCGGCCACACUGGGACUGAGACACUGCCCAGACUCCUUCGGGAGGCUGCAGUCGAGGAUUUUUUGCAAUGCGCGCAAGCGUGACAGAGCGACGCCGCGUGGACGAUGAAGGCCUUCGGUUGUAAGUCAAUCUCGGGAAGAAGAGCCGGAGGUAACAGCUGCCGGCUUGACGUUACUCCGGUUGAAGCGCCGGCUAACUCGUGCCAGCAGCCGCGGU